Molecule: ribosomal RNA, 733 nt
Filed under: uncultured eukaryote
Lineage: Eukaryota
Description: SSU rRNA
Rfam family: Eukaryotic small subunit ribosomal RNA
Source: RNAcentral
GGCGUGUACUGCUUGGCUGGGCCUUACUUCUUGGUGAGCCGGCGUGCCCUUUAUUGGUGUGCGUCGGGGAACCAGGACUUUUACCUUGAGAAAAUUAGAGUGUUCAAAGCAGGCCUAUGCCUGAAUACAUUAGCAUGGAAUAAUAGAAUAGGACGUGCGGUUCUAUUUUGUUGGUUUCUAGAGUCGCCGUAAUGAUUAAUAGGGACAGUUGGGGGCAUUGGUAUUGAGUCGCUAGAGGUGAAAUUCUUGGAUUGACUCAAGACCGACUAUUGCGAAAGCAUUUGCCAAGGAUGUUUUCAUUAAUCAAGAACGAAGGUUAGGGGAUCGAAAACGAUCAGAUACCGUUGUAGUCUUAACAGUAAACUAUGCCGACUAGGGAUCGGAUGACCUCAAAAUUGAUGUGUCAUUCGGCACCUUACGAGAAAUCAAAGUCUUUGGGUUCUGGGGGGAGUAUGGGUCGCAAGGCUGAAACUUAAAGGAAUUGACGGAAGGGCACCACCAGGUGUGGAGCCUGCGGCUUAAUUUGACUCAACACGGGGAAACUCACCAGGUCCAGACAUAACUAGGAUUGACAGAUUGAUAGCUCUUUCAUGAUUUUAUGGGUGGUGGUGCAUGGCCGUUCUUAGUUGGUGGAGUGAUUUGUCUGGUUAAUUCCGAUAACGAACGAGACCUUAACCUGCUAAAUAGCCAGGCCGGCUUCGGCUGGUCUCUGGCUUCUUAGAGGGACUGUCAG